GACGAACGCUGGCGGCGUGCUUAACACAUGCAAGUCGAGCGGUAAGGCCCUUUCGGGGGUACACGAGCGGCGAACGGGUGAGUAACACGUGGGUGACCUGCCCUCAGCUCUGGGAUAAGCCUGGGAAACUGGGUCUAAUACCGGAUAUGACUCCAUGACGCAUGUUGUGGGGUGGAAAGCCUUGUGCGGCUGAGGAGUGGGCCCGCGGCCUAUCAGCUUGUUGGUGGGGUGAUGGCCUACCAAGGCGACGACGGGUAGCCGGCCUGAGAGGGCGACCGGCCACACUGGGAC
This 291-nucleotide ribosomal RNA is filed under the name uncultured bacterium. Its description in RNAcentral is "partial 16S ribosomal RNA". It matches the Rfam family "Bacterial small subunit ribosomal RNA", at positions 28 to 319 of the family's 1533-position model. The record is from RNAcentral.